AUCCUUCCGUAGGGUGAACCUGCGGAAGGAUCAUUG
This 36-nucleotide ribosomal RNA is filed under the name Heuchera chlorantha. RNAcentral describes it as "partial 18S ribosomal RNA". The record is from RNAcentral. RNAcentral also lists the same sequence under 1 other name. Lineage: Eukaryota; Viridiplantae; Streptophyta; Magnoliopsida; Saxifragales; Saxifragaceae.